This 238-nucleotide ribosomal RNA is filed under the name uncultured bacterium. RNAcentral's name for it is "partial 16S ribosomal RNA". It matches the Rfam family "Bacterial small subunit ribosomal RNA", at positions 1262 to 1500 of the family's 1533-position model. The record is from RNAcentral.
GUGGAGCAAAUCCCUAAAAGCCAUCCCAGUUCGGAUCGCAGGCUGCAACCCGCCUGCGUGAAGUUGGAAUCGCUAGUAAUCGCGGAUCAGCAUGCCGCGGUGAAUACGUUCCCGGGCCUUGUACACACCGCCCGUCACACCAUGAGAGUCGGGAACACCCGAAGUCCGUAGCCUAACCGCAAGGGGGGCGCGGCCGAAGGUGGGUUCGAUAAUUGGGGUGAAGUCGUAACAAGGUACC